Molecule: ribosomal RNA, 270 nt
Filed under: uncultured prokaryote
Description: partial 16S ribosomal RNA
Rfam family: Bacterial small subunit ribosomal RNA
Source: RNAcentral
UACAGAGGUGGCGAGCGUUGUUCGGAUUUACUGGGCGUAAAGAGUACGUAGGCGGGAGCUUAAGCACAGGGUUUAAGACAAUGGCUUAACCACUGUAUGCCUUGUGAACUGAGCUUCUUGAGUGCAGGAGGGGAAAGCGGAAUUCCUAGUGUAGCGGUGAAAUGCGUAGAUAUUAGGAGGAACACCAGUGGCGAAGGCGGCUUUCUGGACUGUAACUGACACUGAGGUACGAAAGUGUGGGGAGCAAACAGGAUUAGAUACCCUGGUAGU